CUUUACUGUAGCUUGGAAUUGGGUUCGGGCUUUGCUUGCGCAGGAUAGGUGGGAGACUAUGAAGUUGCUCUUGUGGGAGUAAUGGAGUCAACGGUGAGAUACCACUCUGGUGAGGCUAGAAUUCUAACUUGUUCCCGUCAUCCGGGAGAAGGACAAUUUCAGGUGGGCAGUUUGACUGGGGCGGUCGCCUCCUAAAAGGUAACGGAGGCGCGCAAAGGUGUUCUCAGGCUGGUUGGAAAUCAGCCGUAGAGUGUAAAGGCAGAAGAACGCUUGACUGUGAGAGUGACAACUCAAGCAGGGACGAAAGUCGGCUUUAGUGAUCCGACGGCACUGAGUGGAAGGGCCGUCGCUCAACGGAUAAAAGUUA
RNAcentral lists this ribosomal RNA (367 nucleotides) under uncultured organism. RNAcentral describes it as "bacterial LSU rRNA". It matches the Rfam family "Bacterial large subunit ribosomal RNA", at positions 2099 to 2465 of the family's 2925-position model. The record is from RNAcentral.